UUACUUUUUGCACCAACUGGCGUAUAGAGCCAAACUUGUAAUUAUGUUUGCUCGUGUUUGAUCUCUUUACGUUAUGUCAUUUCUAUUAUUUCGAUUUACUUAUUGAUUAUGUAUAGUGAUGAUAGAGAUGAUUCAGAUUCGAGUACUAGUGUUCUCCAUUGACCGUUGUUUGUACAGAGAUGAUCUUUCGGAGAUAAGGGAAGCUCUUGGAGUUUUGAGUUGCCCAUUUUCUUCUAUCUUAUUGUUAUUUAGACUUUUUAAUCAGGACAAAUGUAUUUACUAUAUUCUAAGUCUUUUGGGUUAUAUUACUGACAUUAGAUGCUCUUGUACUGGCUCUACUAGGUCAUGGGAUUGGUAUUCAUGUGUUUA
This is a long non-coding RNA of Capsicum annuum, 369 nucleotides long. RefSeq lists it as uncharacterized. The record is from RefSeq and is a predicted model, not a curated record. The transcript has 2 exons. Lineage: Eukaryota; Viridiplantae; Streptophyta; Magnoliopsida; Solanales; Solanaceae.